Molecule: ribosomal RNA, 254 nt
Filed under: uncultured bacterium
Lineage: Bacteria
Description: partial 16S ribosomal RNA
Rfam family: Bacterial small subunit ribosomal RNA
Source: RNAcentral
GACGUAGGGCGCGAGCGUUGUCCGGAUUUAUUGGGCGUAAAGAGCUCGUAGGCGGCUUGUCGCGUCGUCCGUGAAAACCUGGGGCUCAACCCCAGGCUUGCGGUCGAUACGGGCAGGCUCGAGUUCGGUAGGGGAGACUGGAAUUCCUGGUGUAGCGGUGAAAUGCGCAGAUAUCAGGAGGAACACCGGUGGCGAAGGCGGGUCUCUGGGCCGAUACUGACGCUGAGGAGCGAAAGCGUGGGGAGCGAAACAGG